RNAcentral lists this ribosomal RNA (211 nucleotides) under Escherichia coli. RNAcentral's name for it is "partial 23S ribosomal RNA". It matches the Rfam family "Bacterial large subunit ribosomal RNA", at positions 1 to 212 of the family's 2925-position model. The record is from RNAcentral. Lineage: Bacteria; Pseudomonadati; Pseudomonadota; Gammaproteobacteria; Enterobacterales; Enterobacteriaceae.
GGUUAAGCGACUAAGCGUACACGGUGGAUGCCCUGGCAGUCAGAGGCGAUGAAGGACGUGCUAAUCUGCGAUAAGCGUCGGUGAGGUGAUAUGAACCGUUAUAACCGGCGAUUUCCGAAUGGGGAAACCCAGUGUGUUUCGACACACUAUCAUUAACUGAAUCCAUAGGUUAAUGAGGCGAACCGGGGGAACUGAAACAUCUAAGUACCCC